CAAUAGUGUAUAUUAAAGUUGUUGCAGUUAAAAAGCUCGUAGUUGAAUGUUGGUGUCGAACGAGCGGUCAGCUUCGGCUGUACUGCUCUCUCGACUCCUUCCUUCUGUGGACUACGUCGCACUUUACUGUGUGGCGCUAGGACGCAGAUCGUUUACUGUGAAAAAAUUAGAGUGUUCAAAGCAGGCCGUACGCUUGAAUACAUUAGCAUGGAAUAAUGGAAUAGGACGUCGGGCCUAUUUUGUUGGUUCUAGGACCGUCGUAAUGAUUAAUAGGGACAGUUGGGGCCGUUUAUAUUCCAUAGUCAGAGGUGAAAUUCUUGGAUUUACGGAAGAUAAACUACUGCGAAAGCAUUCGGCAAGGAUGUUUUCGUUAA
RNAcentral lists this ribosomal RNA (374 nucleotides) under uncultured eukaryote. RNAcentral's name for it is "partial 18S ribosomal RNA". It matches the Rfam family "Eukaryotic small subunit ribosomal RNA", at positions 592 to 976 of the family's 1831-position model. The record is from RNAcentral.